Molecule: ribosomal RNA, 459 nt
Filed under: uncultured bacterium
Lineage: Bacteria
Description: partial 16S ribosomal RNA
Rfam family: Bacterial small subunit ribosomal RNA
Source: RNAcentral
CUACGGGUCGCAGCAGUAAGGAAUAUUGCGCAAUGGAGGCAACUCUGACGCAGCCAUGCCGCGUGCAGGAAGAAGGCCUUAUGGGUCAUAAACUGCUUUUAUUUAGGAAUAAACCCCCGAACGUGUUCGGGGCUGAAGGUACUAAACGAAUAAGCACCGGCUAACUCCGGGCCAGCAGCCGCGGUAAUACGGAGGGUGCAAGCGUUAUCCGGAUUUAUUGGGUUUAAAGGGUGCGCAGGCGGGCUAUUAAGUCAGUGGUGAAAUCCCGGGACUCAACUCCGGAACUGCCAUUGAUACUGAUAGUCUUGAGUUUGGUUGAAGUGGGCGGAAUGUAGCAUGUAGCGGUGAAAUGCAUAGAUAUGCUACAGAACACCAAUCGCGAAGGCAGCUCACUAAGCCAAAACUGACGCUCAUGCACGAAAGCGUGGGGAUCAAACAGGAUUAGAUACCCCGGUAGUC